AGACUCGGGGAAGUGUUUUUAUAGACAUGGCAAAGGUAGUUGCAGCUUCUUUUAGGAAACGAAAGAUAAACCUCAGAUCAGGUGAUAAUCAGCACUCUUUCUAUGACCCUGUGCAAGAACAGGAAACGGAAAUAGCUAACCUGACGAAACUGAAAAGGUUUAACUGCCUUGACAAGGCUGCUGUGAUAACAGAUCCAGGGGAAUUGGAUGCACAAGGUAUGCCUAAAAAUAGUUGGAAAUUGUGCAGUGUACAACAGGUACAACAAUUGAAGUGUUUGGUUGGAAUUAUACCAGUAUGGUUUUCAGGCAUUGGCUGUUUCCUAGUCAUGGACCAGCAAAGCACAUUUGGAGUCCUGCAAGCAAUUCAAAUGAACAGGUCAGUUGGGAAUCAUUUCAAAAUUCCACCUGCUUGGUUGUCCAUAACAUCGAUGAUUGCACUCUCUAUCUGGAUAUACAUUUACGAAGGAAUAUACAUCCCCAAUGCUAAGAAAAUAUUGAAAAGGCGUUCAAGGUUAAUGCUGCAGCACAGGAUUGGAAUCGGGAUUGUUAUGUCAAUCCUCUGCAUGGUGGUAGCUGGAGUUGUUGAAAAGAGGCGCCGAGAACUAGCUAUAAGGCAAGGUUCUUUCACCUCCCCAGUUCAUGUUUUAGUCCUCAUGCCUCAGUUUAUCCUAUCUGGCCUUACAGAAGCUUUUUCUGCUGUUGCUAUAAUGGAAUUUGUCACAGUACAAAUGCCAGAAAGCAUGAGAAGUGUUGCGGGUUCAAUUUUUUUUCUCAGCCUGUCAAUUGCAAGCUACCUAAGUGCCCUCAUUGUCAAUGUAAUACACACUGUAACUGGACGAAACAGAAAAUCACCAUGGCUUGGGGGACAUGAUCUUAACAAGAACAGGCUCGAUUAUUACUAUUACAUUAUUGCUACUCUAGGAGCCAUCAACUUGAUAUAUUUCACUUUCUUUGCAAGCAGUUAUGUGCCUUGUCACAAAGCUGUAAAAGUUGCAGAAGAAUCGCAGUUACAGAACUCAGCCAAUCAAUUAGAGGCUAGAGAUUUUCCACCGAAUGAGAUUAUGCAGGACGAGGAAAGAGGAUUAGACGCAAGGACAACAUAAAUAGAGAAACUGCUUUGCUUUGCCGAGAGAUUGUUUCUUUGCGGUUGGCUUUGAGUAAUCUGUAAAUACCACUCGUGGUGGUGGAUUGCUUAAUUUGCUUCAGAAGAAUGCAAUUCAAUAUCACACAAAUUCUUGCUAUAAAUCAUAACUAUGAAAAUAUAUGUUGCAAGCAUAGAUUAUUUUGGAAAAGCUGUGGGAUGUCUCUUCCCCGGUAUAACUAAUUUUUGUUCAUGAAUGAUGAGAAACGUUUGAAGUUGGUUGCCCCUCAUUGAAUUUGAUUGAGGAAAGAUUGAUAAUCCAAUGUUAAUUGAUGAAAGGUCGUGACACUAAACAAAUUGAUCCAGAUUAGGACUCUGAUAAAUUAAAUAGAGUCAAGGAUUAAACGGUUAAAAUAGGGUCAAACCAUAGGUCAAAAAUAAUUAAAUAAAUAAAUGCACCCAGAUUGCCCAAAAGACAUUGUAGAUUGCAACAAAGCUAACAACCUGAUGAUGAGCAGUGAGAUCAAUCGUAUGAAAGGUGACGAGAAUAAGAGAUAAGUACUCUUAAAAUCAUAUUGAUAAUGGGGUAGUUGGAAAAGAAAAAUCAUAUGCAACAUGAUUGAGGAAAUGAAAUAACAGUACUACGCCCAAUCUGGACAAGAAUCAAAGUAUAUUGAACUAAAAUUUUCGCAACGUAGUAUAUUCAUAUUGCAACAUUUUAUCGAACACUUGGUAUGCAAAAAUUGUAGGUAAUGCAAACACAAAAAGAAUAACAGCACUGUGUUCCUAUUUACUGAAGUCAACAAGGAUAUGGGGAAUAUGAUAUACAGACGGACCAAAUAUACAUAAAAAAAAAAAUAAUAAUAAAAAAAUAAAAUAAAAAGGAACAUGAAGCUUGCCUGAGGAGCUCGAUAUGGCAGAGACUGAAAUUAGUAUUCUAGAGGGUAAUGUGAAGAAAGUUGUGACAGUGAUUGCAUUUUGGCCAUGGC
RNAcentral lists this long non-coding RNA (2070 nucleotides) under Olea europaea (common olive). RNAcentral describes it as "long non-coding RNA (OEUR_LNC008131)". Lineage: Eukaryota; Viridiplantae; Streptophyta; Magnoliopsida; Lamiales; Oleaceae. The record is from RNAcentral.